ACGCUCGACACCUACGGUAGGCAGCAGUGGGGAAUAUUGCACAAUGGGGGAAACCCGUGAUGCAGCGACGCCGCGUGAGCGAAGAAGUAUUUCGGUAUGUAAAGCUCUAUCAGCAGGGAAGAUAAUGACGGUACCUGACUAAGAAGCUCCGGCUAAAUACGUGCCAGCAGCCACGGUAAUCUGAGCGGGCUGGCAAGGC
RNAcentral lists this ribosomal RNA (199 nucleotides) under uncultured bacterium. RNAcentral's name for it is "partial 16S ribosomal RNA". It matches the Rfam family "Bacterial small subunit ribosomal RNA", at positions 326 to 539 of the family's 1533-position model. The record is from RNAcentral.